RNAcentral lists this transfer RNA (75 nucleotides) under Nitrososphaerota archaeon. Its description in RNAcentral is "Thaumarchaeota archaeon tRNA-Gly". It matches the Rfam family "tRNA". From Rfam's summary of the family: Transfer RNA (tRNA) molecules are approximately 80 nucleotides in length. Lineage: Archaea; Thermoproteati; Nitrososphaerota. The record is from RNAcentral. RNAcentral also lists the same sequence under 2 other names.
GCGGAGUUAGUCUAGCUCGGUUAUGACGUCAGCUUCCCAAGCUGAAGGUCGCGUGUUCAAAUCCCGCACUCCGCA